AAGUCGUAACAAGGUUUCCGUAGGUUAACCUGCGGAAGGAUCAUUAACUAAAUCCGCACACAACAUGUGUGCAUAAACCUUGUGAAUUGCCGCGAACACUGAUGGAAUUCUUGAUGUGUUCGCGGAUAGUUGGAGAAAUCUAACGAUCUAUAACUUAGAGUCUGAAUUUUUUAAAAUAUAAAAAAACAACUUUUAACAACGGAUCUCUAGGCUCUU
Molecule: unclassified non-coding RNA, 216 nt
Filed under: fungal sp.
Lineage: Eukaryota; Fungi
Description: partial internal transcribed spacer region
Rfam family: Eukaryotic small subunit ribosomal RNA (bases 1-46)
Source: RNAcentral